RNA transcript from Arabidopsis thaliana (thale cress), 767 nucleotides. RefSeq lists it as uncharacterized. Lineage: Eukaryota; Viridiplantae; Streptophyta; Magnoliopsida; Brassicales; Brassicaceae. The transcript is spliced from 2 exons. The record is from RefSeq.
UUGUCUUUCUUCAUCUUUUUCGUUCACCUCUCUAAACUAUCUCAAUGCUUCUUUGAUUCCAUUGUCGGUUUCCUUGUACUCGUCAAUUUCAUGUUUUUUUUUCUAUCAAUACAUGUGAAGUUUGAAUAACAAAAUCUUCGAAGAUAUUUGUCAAAUUCUUCUACAUCAUUUAAUAAUUGUCUUGAAUGCAAAACAUAUCAAAAUCUUUUUAUCGGUUUCAUCCGGUUCUCCUCUCGCUUUAGCGGAAUUCGAUCUUACUCCAUUUUCGUUCUCACCGGCUUUUCUUCAAAGAUUUCUCUGUUUUCUCCAACUGAUCGAGGAGUAAUAUCUUCAUCGCUUCCUUUGCUCUAGACGCAAGAGCAACUUGGAUUCAGAUCUACAUCAAGAUGGGUAUAGACGGUGGUGGAGCUUCCCCGGAUUUGGUUUUUGACAGAAAUUUUUUGAAGCUAUGAUGAUCUCUCAAUCCGGUAGAUUCGAUGCUUUUUUGGGUUGGAUUCGAGAUCGGACAGAAGGCAGGCCGAUACACAUCGAUCCAGGAUUGAUUAGCGGCGGCUAAUUGAAGAUUUGGCGAUGUCCGGCGAGCUCUUGACGGCGGUGCUACAAUCCUCGACACGUAGUUAGGCGGAGACACGUCCUAUACACGUGUUGUUAUUUUGUUAAUCAUAAUUUGUGUUUAAUUAUGGUUUAAAUGGGCCGUUUUUAUUUUCGUUGUAUCCACUAGACUAACCUUCUGUACUACCUUUUGGGCUUUACUUAAUGAAAAUUUG